This 360-nucleotide ribosomal RNA is filed under the name uncultured bacterium. Its description in RNAcentral is "bacterial SSU rRNA". It matches the Rfam family "Bacterial small subunit ribosomal RNA", at positions 1009 to 1392 of the family's 1533-position model. The record is from RNAcentral.
CAGGCUUUCCUUCGGGACGUAGUGACAGGUGCUGCAUGGCUGUCGUCAGCUCGUGUCGUGAGAUGUUCGGUUAAGUCCGGCAACGAGCGCAACCCACAUUCCUAGUUGCCAGCAGUUCGGCUGGGCACUCUAUGGAAACUGCCCGUGAUAAGCGGGAGGAAGGUGUGGAUGACGUCAAGUCCUCAUGGCCCUUACGGGUUGGGCUACACACGUGCUACAAUGGCAACUACAGUGAGUUAAUCUCCAAAAGUUGUCUCAGUUCGGAUUGGGGUCUGCAACUCGACCCCAUGAAGUCGGAAUCGUUAGUAAUCGUGAAUCAGAAUGUCACGGUGAAUACGUUCCCGGGUCUUGUACACACCG